CCAGCAGCCGCGGUAAUUCCAGCUCCAAUAGCGUAUAUUAAAGUUGUUGCAGUUAAAAAGCUCGUAGUUGGAUUUUGGUUGUAGUCCAGCGGUCCGCCUCACAGCGGUACUGCUGGGCUCUUCCUUCUUCUCGUUGACCACGGGUGCUCUUAAUUGAGUGUCCGUGUUAGGCGGGACUUUUACUGUGAGAAAAUUAGAGUGUUCAAAGCAGGCGUUUGCUUGAAUAUUACAGCAUGGAAUAAUGGAAUAGGAUCACGAUCUUAUUUUGUUGGUUUCUAGGAUCGAGAUAAUGAUUAAUAGGGACAGUUGGGGGCAUUAAUAUUUAGAAGUCAGAGGUGAAAUUCUUGGAUUUUCUGAAGAUUAACUUCUGC
This 371-nucleotide ribosomal RNA is filed under the name uncultured eukaryote. Its description in RNAcentral is "SSU rRNA". It matches the Rfam family "Eukaryotic small subunit ribosomal RNA", at positions 567 to 946 of the family's 1831-position model. The record is from RNAcentral.